CACCAGAUGAUAGUACAUAAUCUGCUCCGGCGCUCCCGGCUCGCUCAGUUGGUCUGUGGUGAGCUUCGCCAUGGCCUCGUCGUUGGGUGCCAAGACUGUCAAAACAUAGCCUUCAGAGACUAAUCGGCCCAUUUCGGUGGCGAGAGAGGUGAGGUUGACGAGAAUGUCCGCCAUUUCGUUGUACCCGCCGUAAUGUAGUAGAGUUUGGAUGAAGUCCUUGACCUGGCUCUCGCCGUCGAAGUGGCCGCGGGGACCGCCGGGCCCAGGCGCCGGCGCUGGAGCUAGGGAGGGUCCAGGGGCCAUGGCGUCGUAGAUCGGAAGCACCGGAGGGGCUCCGGCAGGGACCGACACUGGCUUUUUCAGGCGGUGCGUCCUAGGAUCAACCUCCGGCGCCCCCUCUGGCAGAACGGCAGAAAUGGACCGGAGACUCCUCCUGCG
This 438-nucleotide long non-coding RNA is filed under the name Vitis vinifera (wine grape). RNAcentral describes it as "long non-coding RNA (VVIN_LNC002399)". Lineage: Eukaryota; Viridiplantae; Streptophyta; Magnoliopsida; Vitales; Vitaceae. The record is from RNAcentral.